UAGGAAAUGAUCACAUGUCCCGCUGGUAA
RNAcentral lists this non-coding RNA (29 nucleotides) under Mus musculus (house mouse). The record is from RNAcentral. Lineage: Eukaryota; Metazoa; Chordata; Mammalia; Rodentia; Muridae.